GCAGUGGUGGUUCAGUGGUAGAAUUCUUGCCUUCCAUGUGGGAAACCUGGGUUCGCCUCCUGGUCAACGCA
RNAcentral lists this transfer RNA (71 nucleotides) under Loxodonta africana (African savanna elephant). It matches the Rfam family "tRNA". Rfam says of the family: Transfer RNA (tRNA) molecules are approximately 80 nucleotides in length. Their secondary structure includes four short double-helical elements and three loops (D, anti-codon, and T loops). Further hydrogen bonds mediate the characteristic L-shaped molecular structure. tRNAs have two regions of fundamental functional importance: the anti-codon, which is responsible for specific mRNA codon recognition, and the 3' end, to which the tRNAs corresponding amino acid is attached (by aminoacyl-tRNA synthetases). tRNAs cope with the degeneracy of the genetic code in two manners: having more than one tRNA (with a specific anti-codon) for a particular amino acid; and 'wobble' base-pairing, i.e. permitting non-standard base-pairing at the 3rd anti-codon position. Lineage: Eukaryota; Metazoa; Chordata; Mammalia; Proboscidea; Elephantidae. The record is from Rfam by way of RNAcentral.